This 497-nucleotide ribosomal RNA is filed under the name uncultured bacterium. RNAcentral describes it as "partial 16S ribosomal RNA". It matches the Rfam family "Bacterial small subunit ribosomal RNA", at positions 36 to 507 of the family's 1533-position model. The record is from RNAcentral.
UCCUCCCUCUGGCGGCGUGCCUAAUACAUGCAAGUUGAGCGCUGAAGGUUGGUACUUGUACCAACUGGAUGAGCAGCGAACGGGUGAGUAACGCGUGGGGAAUCUGCCUUUGAGCGGGGGACAACAUUUGGAAACGAAUGCUAAUACCGCAUAAAAACUUUAAACACAAGUUUUAAGUUUGAGAGAUGCAAUUGCAUCACUCAAAGAUGAUCCCGCGUUGUAUUAGCUAGUUGGUGAGGUAAAGGCUCACCAAGGCGAUGAUACAUAGCCGACCUGAGAGGGUGAUCGGCCACAGUGGGACUGAGACACGGCCCAAACUCCUACGGGAGGCAGCAGUAGGGAAUCUUCGGCAAUGGACGAAAGUCUGACCGAGCAACGCCGCGUGAGUGAAGAAGGUUGUCGGAUCGUAAAACUCUGUUGGUAGAGAAGAACGUUGGUGAGAGUGGAAAGCACAUCAAGUGACGGUAACUACCCAGAAAGGGACGGCUAACUACGUG